Non-coding RNA from Lentinula edodes (shiitake mushroom), 108 nucleotides. The record is from Rfam. NCBI's taxonomy places the organism in Eukaryota, Fungi, Basidiomycota, Agaricomycetes, Agaricales, Omphalotaceae.
GGUGAGAUGGCCGAGCGGUCUAAGGCGCCAGACUAAGGAGACCAGCACAUCUGGUGUGCAUAAGAAUCUGGUCACAUUGUGGCGUGGGUUCGAAUCCCACUCUCAUCA